This 1495-nucleotide long non-coding RNA is filed under the name Mytilus galloprovincialis (Mediterranean mussel). Lineage: Eukaryota; Metazoa; Mollusca; Bivalvia; Mytilida; Mytilidae. The record is from RNAcentral.
AGUCUCCCAAACAAAGUUUGGAGACUUAUUGUUUUUGCUCAGUUCUUAUUAUUUUUAUUAUUCUUCUUCCUCUUCCUCUUCCUCUUCCGCUUCCGCCACUUUAAAAAUGAACUUGUCCGCAGCGUUUCUCAAAAACCGCUUGUCAGAUUGACUUAGAAUUUCAUAAAAUGGUAGACUAAUAUGUCUAGGUGAGCCAUCAAUCUUUCGUUUGUGCAUUGGGGUCUGUUAAGGGGUAUUUUGGGGGGUAGAAAGGAGGAAGGGGUUUACUAUAGAACCCUAUGGGAUUUUAUUUUCUAAAAUUUUCAAAUGAAUAUAACUUAAAAACUGUAAGUGAUAGAUACAUGCAGUCUUCAGAAUUGAUUAUAGGACAAUAAAACAAAUCACAUGAAAUAUAGGGGGAGUCCCUGGGAGUUCAUCCCCACUCCCUUCAAUUUGAGAAUAUGCUUAUAUUUUGUAAACGGUCCAUAUCCCUACCCCUAAACCAUAUAUAUUCUUGAAUGGGAUGAUAAAACAAAUCAAAUGAAAUUAAUGGGAGGUCCCAGGGGGUCAUCCCCACCCCAGUCAAUUUGAGAAUGUGCUAUUAUCUUGUAAACGGUCCAGAUCCCCACCCCUAAACUACAUAUAUUCUUGUAGGGGACAAUAAAACAAAUGAAAUUAAAUUAAAGGGAAGUCCCUAGGGGAUCAUCCCCACCCCUCUUGUUUGAAAACUUGUAAACGGUCAACAUCCCCACCCCUAAACCAUAUAUAUUCUUGUAGGGGACAAUAAAACAAAUGAAAUGAAAUUAAAGGGAAGUUUUUAGGGGGUCAUCCCACCCCCUCUUAUUUGAAAACUUGUAAACGGUCAACAUCCCCACCCCUAAACCAUAUAUAUUGUUGUAGGGGACAAUAAAAAAAAUGAAAUGAAAUAAAAGGGAAUUCCGUAGGGGGUCACCCCACCCCCUCUUGUUUGAAAACUUGUAAACGGUCAACAUCCCCAACCCUAAACCAUGUAUAUUCUUGUAGGGGACAAUAAAACAAAUGAAAUGAAAUAAGAGGGAAGUCCCUAGGGGGUCAUCCCACCCCCUCUUGUUUGAAAAUUUGUAAACGGUGAACAUCCCCACCCCUAAACCAUAUAUAUUCUUGUAUGGGACAAUAAAGCUAAUCAAAUGAAAUUAAAGGGAAGUUCCUGGGGGUUGCCCCACCCCGUUCAAUUUGAGAAUGUGCUAUUAUCUUGUAAACGGUCCAGAUCCCCACCCUUAAACCAUAUACAUUCUUGUAGGGGACAAUAAAACAAAUGAAAUGAAAUGUAGGUGAAUUCCCUGGGGGUCAUCACCACCCCCUCCUGUUUGAAUACUUGUAAAUGGUGGAGAUCCCUACUCGUAAGCCAUAUAUAUUCUUGUAUGGGACAAAAAAAUCAAAUCAAAUGAACAUGGGACCAUAUGAAUGGCGAGUUAUGGGAGCUUUGUUUGGGAGACUUCGUAACAGCAUCCUGUUACAAUUACUUCUUGUUUAAUUU